This 592-nucleotide long non-coding RNA is filed under the name Homo sapiens (human). RNAcentral describes it as "non-protein coding lnc-GIMD1-5:2". The record is from RNAcentral. Lineage: Eukaryota; Metazoa; Chordata; Mammalia; Primates; Hominidae.
CUUGCAGUUUGAUCUCAGACUGCUGUGCUAGCAAUCAGGGAGACUCCGUGGGGUAGGACCCUCUGAGCCAGAGUAUCUGACUGUCUUCUCUCAGAUGAUUGCAUUUCAUGAUCCAGAGCUGAGUAAUCAUCUCAAUGAGAUUGGUUUCAUUCCAGAUCUCUAUGCCAUCCCUUGGUUUCUUACCAUGUUUACUCAUGUAUUUCCACUACACAAAAUUUUCCACCUCUGGGAUACCUUACUACUUGGGAAUUCCUCUUUCCCAUUCUGUAUUGGAGUAGCAAUUCUUCAGCAGCUGCGGGACCGGCUUUUGGCUAAUGGCUUUAAUGAGUGUAUUCUUCUCUUCUCCGAUUUACCAGAAAUUGACAUUGAACGCUGUGUGAGAGAAUCUAUCAACCUGUUUUGUUGGACUCCUAAAAGUGCUACUUACAGACAGCAUGCUCAACCUCCAAAGCCAUCUUCUGACAGCAGUGGAGGCAGAAGUUCGGCACCUUAUUUCUCUGCUGAGUGUCCAGAUCCUCCAAAGACAGAUCUGUCAAGAGAAUCCAUCCCAUUAAAUGACCUGAAGUCAGAAGUAUCACCACGGAUUUCAGCA